Anolis sagrei ordinatus is the source of this 221-nucleotide non-coding RNA. Lineage: Eukaryota; Metazoa; Chordata; Lepidosauria; Squamata; Anolidae. The record is from RefSeq and is a predicted model, not a curated record.
CUCUUAGCUCUUCACACAACAGAACUGGUUUCCCUCCAGCUGCCUUGUUCAGCGAUGAAAACAAUGUUGAAUGAAAGCCAGCUGGCAGCCAGAAGACUAGACGGAGAAAUGUGCACAAAGGAGCUUCCUACCACACUGUUUUCAGAUCAAGGAAUUGUCUGGUGGCGAGGGAGGGAGGAAUCUUGACUUCUUCCUUUGCAGAACGUAUCAGAAAACCAAAA